This 60-nucleotide ribosomal RNA is filed under the name uncultured bacterium. Its description in RNAcentral is "partial 16S ribosomal RNA". The record is from RNAcentral.
GAGAGUCGAACGGCCACAUUGGGACUGAGACACGGCCCAGACUCCUACGGGAGGCAGCAG